CUGGCGUCGAUCAAGGUUGGAAAAGCAUUCCGUCGCGAUCCAGGGUUAAAAGGGAGAUAACCCAGAAUUAACACAGGGAGACAGUUGAGACAGUCAACAUACCGGAGAGCCUUUGAACUUUUGAAGCAAGUGGCACAUAAAAACGGUUUCAACCUUCAACCAUCCAUUUUCAGAUUGACGAAGCAUGGAUUCAAAUUAUGGCCGAAGUACCAGAUAAUGAAAAAAAUAGACAACUGACUGUUACGCAAUGGUUAGACGGCCACAGAUACAAUGGAUACAAUGGAACCACAACCAAACCACGCGAAAAAC
Long non-coding RNA from Patella vulgata (common limpet), 309 nucleotides. RefSeq lists it as uncharacterized. Lineage: Eukaryota; Metazoa; Mollusca; Gastropoda; Patellidae. The record is from RefSeq and is a predicted model, not a curated record. The transcript is spliced from 3 exons.